GCGGGAGUGGCGGAAUUGGCAGACGCGCCAGACUUAGGAUCUGGUACCGCAAGGUGUGGAGGUUCAAGUCCUCUCUCCCGCACCA
This 85-nucleotide transfer RNA is filed under the name Nitratiruptor tergarcus DSM 16512. RNAcentral describes it as "tRNA_Leu_TAG". It matches the Rfam family "tRNA". From Rfam's summary of the family: Transfer RNA (tRNA) molecules are approximately 80 nucleotides in length. The record is from RNAcentral. Lineage: Bacteria; Pseudomonadati; Campylobacterota; Epsilonproteobacteria; Nautiliales; Nitratiruptoraceae.